AUGACAGCAACCACCACACCGCGAUCCCCUCUCAUCCCCACGCACGCUCGUUGGAGCAUCUCGUCGCUGCCUCCGCCGCCGGCCGCCGCCUCGUGCUUCGUCGCAGCACCCCGUCGUCGCCGUGCUGCUAUGGAGCGCCGCCAUGCUGCGUCGCCGCCUCCGCCGUCGCCUCGUGCUUCGUCGCGGCACCUCGUCGUCGUCGUGUUGCUAUGGAGCGCCGCUGUGCUGCGUCGCAGCCUCGCCGCCACAUCGUGCUUUCGUCGCAGCACCUCGUUGUCGUCGUCAUGUUGCUAUGGAGCGCCGUCGUGCUGCGUCGCAACCUCCACCGCCGCAUCGUGCUUCGUCGCAGCUCUCCGUCGUCGUCGUGCUGCUAUGGAGCACUGUCGUGCCGAUGGUCGUGUUGCAAUGAAGCUUCACCGGCGGCCAUCUGGUGGAGCGAUGGACCCGCCGCGCCGGGUGCGCCGCUGCACUGGAACAUCGCCGGCGGUCGUAGGGUGCUGCGAUGGAGCACCGCCAUGCCAGCUUUGGCGCUACAGUGAAGCAUCGCCGGUGGUCGUCGGGUGCUGCGAUGGAGCAGCGCCACACCGGUGUUGGCGCUGCAGCGAAGCGUUGCCGGUGGUGGAGCAUGGCUGCGCUGCCGGUGAGGUGGUGGCGUACUGGCAUGGUGCGACUCCUCCUGUGGCGCUGCUUCCAACGACGACACGCUUUGGUUGCUCGCGUGUGGCUGCGAUGACAGCAGGGACGAGCCCGCGAGAGGGCGUUGACUGA
This 768-nucleotide ribosomal RNA is filed under the name Triticum aestivum (bread wheat). RNAcentral describes it as "partial small subunit ribosomal RNA". The record is from RNAcentral. Lineage: Eukaryota; Viridiplantae; Streptophyta; Magnoliopsida; Poales; Poaceae.